AACGAACGCUGGCGGCAUGCCUAACACAUGCAAGUCGAACGAGACCUUCGGGUCUAGUGGCGCACGGGUGCGUAACGCGUGGGAACCUGCCCUUAGGUUCGGAACAACUCCCCGAAAGGGGUGCUAAUACCGGAUAAUGUCUUCGGACCAAGGUUUAUCGCCUUUGGAUGGGCCCGCGUUGGGUUAGCUAGUUGGUAGGGUAAAAGCCUACCAAGGCGACGAUCCAUAGCUGGUCUGAGAGGAUGAUCAGCCACACUGGGACUGAGACACGGCCCAGACUCCUACGGGAGGCAGCAGUGGGGAAUAUUGGACAAUGGGCGAAAGCCUGAUCCAGCAAUGCCGCGUGAGUGAUGAAGGCCUUAGGGUUGUAAAGCUCUUUUACCCGGGAUGAUAAUGACAGUACCGGGAGAAUAAGCUCCGGCUAACUCCGUG
Molecule: ribosomal RNA, 432 nt
Filed under: uncultured bacterium
Lineage: Bacteria
Description: partial 16S ribosomal RNA
Rfam family: Bacterial small subunit ribosomal RNA
Source: RNAcentral